UACGUAGGGUGCAAGCGUUGUCCGGAAUUAUUGGGCGUAAAGAGCUCGUAGGCGGUCUGUUGCGUCGGCUGUGAAAACCCGGGGCUCAACUCCGGGCCUGCAGCCGAUACGGGCAGACUAGAGUUCGGCAGGGGAGACUGGAAUUCCUGGUGUAGCGGUGAAAUGCGCAGAUAUCAGGAGGAACACCGGUGGUGUAGACGGCUCUCUGGACCGUAACUGACGCUGAGGCACGAAAGCGUGGGUAGCAAACAGG
RNAcentral lists this ribosomal RNA (253 nucleotides) under uncultured bacterium. Its description in RNAcentral is "partial 16S ribosomal RNA". It matches the Rfam family "Bacterial small subunit ribosomal RNA", at positions 524 to 776 of the family's 1533-position model. The record is from RNAcentral.